UACAGAGGUGGCAAGCGUUGUUCGGAAUUACUGGGCGUAAAGGGCGCGUAGGCGGCCUUCUAAGUCAGACGUGAAAUCCCCCGGCUUAACCUGGGAACUGCGUCUGAUACUGGAGGGCUUGAGUGCGGGAGAGGGAUGUGGAAUUCCUGGUGUAGCGGUGAAAUGCGCAGAUAUCAGGAGGAACACCAAUGGCGAAGGCAGCUCGCUGGAACGGAACUGACGCUGAGGCGCGAAAGCGUGGGGAGCGAACAGG
This 253-nucleotide ribosomal RNA is filed under the name uncultured bacterium. RNAcentral's name for it is "partial 16S ribosomal RNA". It matches the Rfam family "Bacterial small subunit ribosomal RNA", at positions 524 to 776 of the family's 1533-position model. The record is from RNAcentral.